GAUUCAUUUCUUUGACGUUCAGGGUCUUUUGCCAGCGGGCCGACUGAGUCUCAGUGGUUUCGCUCGUAUGAACAUUUGCCAAAUUCCUCCUUUCACUACUGCGGAUACAUCUCAGCGCCAUUUUCUGCGGCCGCAUCCUGCGGCUCCGUAGCCAUGGAUUUUUGCUUCUCCGCGUCAGUUGUUUCUGGAGGAUAAGCUGCUAGCCGACUCAUCUGUAGGCCGCUGAGGGACCGGAGUGGAGAGGAAGGAGGAGACGGCAAAGCUUUGCAGCGGUGAAUCAAACAAACCCCCCUUCCCACGCCUGCUGAGAGGAUAGUAGAGUUUUCAUCCUCCUCAUUCCUAUUCCGAUGUCCUGGCCUGACUGAUGAGUGCGGGGAGUGUGUCCAACGAUGGGUUGGCGCCCCGCCCUCGGUUGUUCCCUGCUUUGCACAGAUUGACUCCAGACCCCCGUGACCCGGAAUAGGGACAACAGGUUACAGAAGAUGGACAGAUGGAGGGUUGCACAAGAUGGAUGGACACUGGCCCCAAACUGCCACAUCUAUGAUGAUAAUAUUGAGCAAGAAUAAUUAUUAUAUAAUUAUAUAUAAUGAACUUCGUAAAUGGUAAACAACCAAAUUAUUCUAAGACAUUCUGAUAAAAUAACAAUGACGGAACACUUGUGGAUGUCAGAACUUCUGCUACUUGCCACAAAAUUAUAACUUGUA
Molecule: long non-coding RNA, 704 nt
Organism: Brienomyrus brachyistius
Lineage: Eukaryota; Metazoa; Chordata; Actinopteri; Osteoglossiformes; Mormyridae
Exons: 3
Source: RefSeq, a predicted model, not a curated record